GUUAUGGGUAGCCAUCUAGCAGCUUUUAGCUGGAAGCUGCGAACAACAUGGUGGCACAGGCUGAGGGAAGAUGUGUUGAGCCUGCAGAUCUGUGAGGUGCUGUGGAGGGAUGGCUCCAAGGGUGAAGACCUCAGUGCCAUCAGGCUGGAGAUCCUCAUCUGUGGUUGAACUUCUCUUGUUAAGCUUCACUGUUAUGCAAGAAUGGAGGUGGCAAGACCACUGUCAUCUGCCUGCACAGUACAGAGAAGAUGAUGAAAUUUAAACGGACAGCUUAAAAUUGACAAUUUUACUUGCAUCUGUCUUCCAUCAUGUUUUCCAUGCCAGGCAUGGCUCUUUCCCUGCUGAAUAAAG
Molecule: long non-coding RNA, 351 nt
Organism: Gymnogyps californianus (California condor)
Lineage: Eukaryota; Metazoa; Chordata; Aves; Accipitriformes; Cathartidae
Exons: 3
Source: RefSeq, a predicted model, not a curated record